GGGGAAAGAGGAAACGUCGUGGCUGGCAGGGUAGGAAGGGAUGCGUGUCCAGGUGAGAAAGAGGUGUGACGUGCAGAUGGGAUGCCCGCCGCUAUGACGCUGCCGAGACCCGCGGUGACUGCGUCAGAGUUUCACCCGGGGAGAGCUCCCUCUUUGCCCACUAGCAGGGCAUUAGCUGGUGCUGAAGACAGUGGCUGCUUGGCGAGCCUGGAUCUCCAAGUGACCCCCUCAGCAACUCCUGAUGAACAGGACUGAAGCCAAUAUUAAAGCAAGUCAACCAAAGGUUCUCUGGUGUAGACAAGACAGCAAAAGGACAGACUACCUUGUGGAACCUAGCAUUGUUCUCCUUCUGCAGCACUAAGUAACAUUUGUUCUCCGUUAAGAUCUUUGCAAACCACACACAAGAAUUGCUGGUCAUCCUGCCAAUAGAUGCUGCUCACAGAACCAAAUUUCCUGUGCUGAAUUGUCACUCAUGGGCUUGAGAGUAGGAGACUGGAGACCAAGGUGGCUAGAAUCCAGUUGGGCCUGAUGUCUCCCUGUUGAAAGGGCUCCUUGUGGAAUGAAUAGCACAUGGCUCCUGUGGUGGAUCUGAUAGUGGCAUAGCACCAAGUGAUGCAGGCCUGCCAGGGGCCACAGACACAGAAGAUGCUCCCGGGGUCCCCCAUGUACUCCAGACACACUGCAGGCCACCUCUCCCAGCAGGUUGCCAGUCAUGGGCCCCAUCAUCAUGACUUCUGUCCAAGGUACUGUGUGCAGAAAUGUGAUUGAGAUUCAAGUCAGGGCCUCUCUGCCCUUUUCCCUCCAGAAACAAAACCAAGAUAAUUUAUCCUGAACACGGUGAAAAAAGGAAGGGAGGGAGGAGAAAAAGUCCGGGUCUCACCUGGGAUUCUCUGUCUCCUGCAACAUGAAGGAUUUAGCCUGGGAGGAGGUGGUGAGAACUCUGGGAGAGAAAAAAGAAGGAAAGAAUAGUUUUACCCAUGCUGAAGUUAAUUUAAACCUUCACCUAGAGAAGCAAAAAAAAAAAACCCACACUUUCCCAUUUUGUGCCUCCCUUCCUAGAGUUUUAGCCAAAGGUUUAGCUAAGUAAUUGGUUUUACCAGCGCACUCACUCCUCCUAUCCCAAGUCUGUUUGACUCCCUCCCCAUCAUCCUCCUCACCUCUUUUCAGGCAGGGUGGGGAUAGCAGCAGGAGGAGAUUUUGGGAGCCUGGCAACUCCUGCAAGGACCGCAGGACAGCCCCUCUGUGGGGAUGCGUGGUGCCCCAUCUGCCGCCCUUCUGAAGAAUGCACUGCCUUCACUUUUUACUGUGUUAGAGUCCAUCCAGACUGUUCUAUCCAAAAAAGUUUCUUUUUCCCCCACAGGCAAUCAGGAAAUGAUUCCUUUCCCGACUGCUUCUGUCUAGUGCCUGGGAAUCUUGAGUCAAUCCCUCAGUAAGUCAGUGACUAGGGAAAUCCCUCUCUGAGCCUCCCAGUUCAUGUUGCUUAGGGAACCUGAUAUUUUCGUGAAACCUGCCUACACAUGGGCAGCCCAACAGCAGAACAAAUGGUGGUGACCAAAGUGAACAAAGAAGUAUAGUUGUGCCAGCUUCGUAGUUGCCCAUGUGGACAAGUCAGCAGGAUCAGGACACGAGGAAGAGUAAAUGUGAGACAGUCAAUGUGACUUCUGCGAUAAACAGAUUUUUAAACCCCGAAAUUUUGCAAAAUUUUGGUGAAACCUGAACUUUCUUCGUUGCAUAUACUGGCACUAUCUGUACCAUCAUACAACUGUCUCACAUUAAAGCUAUUUUUCUUGGGCACUGAUGAGUAAGGUUGGUAUAAGUUCCUCAGAUCAACAAAAACCCAUUUUCCUGUAAGUCUUACAUUUAGUAUUUAAGGAACUAAAACUUAAAUACAUUUUGUGAAAUGGUUGACACUUCACUGAUAAUGAUUUAUUGCUUGGAUUAAUAAAUUUUCCAAAAGUUGUCUUAUGUAGAAUAUGGUUUGCAACCAGCAGAACCAUUAAUCUAUACUGCAAUGAUAUGCACUAUGUAUAAUUGUUUAAAAGCCUCUACUUAAUGAUGUAAAAUGCUCUAUUUAAUUACACAUUUGGGUAAACUGUAUACUAACAUCUGAUGGCAUUUUUCCACUGUUUGUUGCUUUUUUCAAAUACUUUAUUGUACAAAGCUGUUCUUAAUAUUUUUCAAGUUUUUUUCUUUGAAUUUUGCUAAUGUUUUCCUUGAAUUAUGAGCACUGACAGAAUGUGCUUAGCACUUUUGGCUAUUCACACAGCUUUUGAGCAUGAUUUGCAUCCAAUAUUUACAUUGCUAGCAAUAAUAAGCCAUCUGUGAGUUUUGUCAAAAGUUAUUGGGGAUUUUUUAAAUUUUAGAAAUGCAAAUUAUUGUUUCUUUGAACUAACUCUUAUGCAGUUGCAAAGGCAUUUCCAGUUGUUAUAGUUUGUGUACAAUAUCAGGUGUUCCAGAUUAUGAUUCAUUAUUAAUAUCAUUGCUUCCUUGUUCCCUCUGAGGUCCAGAAGAUUCAUGUUUACAAUAUUUAGAAACAAUGUUAAAAAGGUAUCCAAAGUUUGUCACUUUAUUAUUAGUUUGUUCUUAAUAUUCUGUUUAAGUUUUUGAAUUCAUAGAUAUCAAAACGCUGCACAAUUAUGAUUUCCACAGGAAUAACAACACACUAACAAUAAGAACCAAAAACAGCAAAUAGGCUGCCUACAAGUUUUGACAAUAUUAGGAUAAUGAUAAUGACAGUUUUUCUAAAUCUCACAGUAAAGAAUGCAGCAACCCAGCAACACUGCUACCUGUGGCCUCAGGCUGCAGUGUCAGCUCUUCCCUGGGUCUCCAGCCUGCCAGUCUAACCUGAAAAUUAUGUACUUGCCAGCCCCCACAGUCACGUGAGUGAACUGGCCCAGGCUGGUCACCAGGGUCAGUUUCUCUGUGUGUCAUUAAUUCAUUCAGUCUUCAGCAGUCUCUUUGGAGCUGAGAUGUACCUACCAUCUGCCUUUUGGGUGCUUAGGGUGGAGAACCAGAAAAGUAUAACCUAGUGUGUAUCCUCAAAGAGCUAACAAUAUGGGGUGGUACCUAUAGGUCUGGAAACACUUUACUGACUCUGUGAGGCAUACCAGGAGACGUCAGAGAACAGUCCCUCCUCAAAUGCCAAAUGAGAUGCAGAAGAAAUAGUUUGCUCAAGUUCAUGGGCCAGAUAUCCCAGUGGUCAGGGAGUUUCAUGAAUGAGAUGGAACUUUGCAUGGAACCCGAGGGAUGUGUAUGAUUUGAGUAGAUGAAGAAAAUGAGACUUUCCAAGCAGCUAGAAGUUAGGGAGCAGCAAGAUGUGUGGUGGGAUUGAGCACAGUUGGUUCAGAGGAUAGACUGCAGUUUUAAUAAUUUGUAGUAAAUAUCUCCCAACUGUUUGGCACUAUUGGAGCAAGUUCUUGAAUGCCAAAUGAAGGCAUAAAUCAGUAAGAGGCAUAAUAAAAGGCUGAGCAGUGCUUGGCUUUUUACGAACUGAUCCUGAUAGGAGCAGCUGUUCAACAAAGUUGCCAGGUCACCGUUACAUAGUCCCUGCCUUCUAGGGGCUCACUGCCUACUGGGAGAGACAGUCUGAAAGUUGGUGGAGCAUGUAACUGUUGGAUGAGGAGUUUGAGCCUGUGGACUGUGGGACCCCCGAGGAGGGUGUGGCUACUCUAGGCAGAACAAUCCCACAGUUUAUUUAUAUUUAACCUUGAAAUUCAUUAGAGGAUUUUUCAGCAGAGGUUUGGUACUUGUUAAUGUUAAGGUUUGCAUUCUCUAGAACCUCAAGGAAAGCUGUACCGUGCAUAAUGUACCCUCUUAUGUUAAUGUUGUGUACUGUGAUCCUGUUUCAGGGACUUGCACUUAGGAAUCUGUUACAGUGAGCACAGAAGCAGACCUGUGGGCUCAUAGUCUUCACCCCCCACCCAUAUAUACAAGAUGAACAGAGUGGAGGUUAAACAACUUGACUAAACAACACAGUUCAUGGUAAAGCCCAAGACUGUACCUGCCCAUCCACUGCCUUUUCCAUGUAUCCUGGAACUGAGCAUAGACCUCUUCCCAGGCAGAGCUGACAGCAAGUAAAGGAGAUCAUAAUCAGGGGACCAAACAACUUUGUCUAAAGUGUGAAUGUCACCUAAGGAGAAGCUGUGAGAUCAGAAGGGUGGGGCAGAGGAGCAGACACCAUGAGGGAGAGUCCUUGGGGGUACAUCUGCCAGACUGACACUGUCUGGCCUGGGCAGUGGAGGGGCUAGCAGGAACCACAGGUACUGGUGGUGUGGCUACUACCGUUACAACUGCCUGUGCUUGGACAUGGACCCUCUGCAAUAUGCGGCAGUUUCAUUCAUUGCCCCCUACAUUCUACACCAAGUAGAAAUGGAAGGCAAUUGGAUACUUCACAGACAAGAUCUAAGUGGAGAAGGAAUGCGUCCUGUGGCUGCAGAGAUCCUUGGAGCUUGGAGGGGAGAGCUUGAGCCCCACUGAUGAUGACCUCCCACAGCUCGCCAACUCAGCCCUCCCUAAGUCCCCAUCGGGGGCCAAUUCUCACUCUGGGGUUGGGGGGACUCCACCAUAGCUCAUCCAUCAUAGGGAUGUUGGUAUCUACUGUGGGUUGGGUAGGGCCGAUGUGCUGAGGAUGGCUCCCCCACAAGCAAGAGAUGUGGAUUUGGGGAGCUUCCCAUCUUGUGUUGAAGGAACAUAACUCAGAAUAAUAAGAGCCAACUAUAACAAACCCACAGCCAACAUCAUACUGAAUGGGCAAAAGCUGCAGGCAUUCCCCUUGAAAAGUGGCACAGGAUAAGGAAGCCCUUUCUCACCACUCCUAUUCAAUAUAGUGUUGAAAGUCCUGAUCACAGCAGUCAGGCAACAGAAAUAAUAAAGGGCAUCCAAAUAGGAAGAGAGGAAGUCAAACUAUCCUUGUUUGCAGACAGUAUGAUUCUAUAUCUAGAAAACCCCAUAGCCUCAGCCCAAAAGGUCCUUCAUCUGAUAAUUUCAGCAAAGUUUCAGGAGACAAAAUCAGUGUACAAAAAUCACUAACAUUCCUAUACACAGUCGCCAAGCCAAGAGCCAAAUCAGGAGCACAAUCCCAUUCAUAAUUGCCACAAAAAAGAAUAAAAUACCCAGGAAUGCAGCUAACCAAGGAAGUAAAGGAUCUCUACAAUGAGAAUCACAAACGCUGCUCAAAGAAAUCAGAGAUGACACAAACAAAUGGAAAAACUUUCCAUGCUCAUGGCUAGGAAGAAUCAAUAUCAUUAAAGUGGCCAUACUACCCAAAGCAAUUUAUAGAUUCAAUGCUAUUCCUAUCAAACUAUCAAUUACAUUUUUCACAGAACUAGAAAAAACUUAAAAUUCAUAUGGAACCAAAAAGCCUGAGUAGUCAAGGCAAUCCUAAACAAAAAGAACAAAGGUGGAGGCAUCACAUUACCUAACUUCAAACUACAGGGCUACCAUGACCAAAACAGCAUGGUACUGGUACAAAAGCAGACACACAGACCAGUGGGACAGAAUAGAGAGCCCAAAAAUAAGGCCACAAACCUACAGCCAUCUGAUCUUCAACAAAGUUGACAAAAACAAGCAAUGGGGAAAGGUCUCCCUAUUCAAUAAAUGGUGCUGGGAUAACUGGCUGGCCAUAUGCAGAAGAUCGUAACUGGACCCCUUUUACUAUGUACAAAAAUUAAGAUGGUUUAAAGAGUUAAAACCCAAAAUUAUAAAAAUCCUGAAGAUAACUUAGGCAAUACCAUUCUGGACAUAGGAACUGGCAAAUAUUUCAUGAUGAAGACACCAAAAGCAAUUGUAACAAAAGCAAAAAUGGACAAAUUGGAUUUAAGAGCUUUUUCAUAGCAAAAUAAACAACAGGGCAGACAAUCUACCAAAUGACAGAAAAUUUUUGCAAACUAUGCAUCUGACAAGGGGCUAAUAUCUAGCAUCUAUAAGGAAUUUAAACACAGUUACAGGAAAAAAAAAACCCACUCCAUUAAAAAAUGGGCAAAGGACAUGAACAGACACUUUUCAAAAAAGACAUACAUACAGCCAACUAGCGUGUUAAAGAAAACCUCAAUUAUCACUGAUCAUUAGAGAAAUGCAAAAUCAAAACCAUGAUGAGAUAUCAUCUGCCAGUCAGGAUGGCUACAAAAAAGUAAAAAAAUAAUAGAUGUUGGUGAGGUUAUGGAGAAAAGGAACUUAUACACUUGUUAGGAGUGUAAAUUAGUUCAAUCACUGUGGACAGCAGUGUGGUGAUUCCUCAGAGAGCUAAAAACAACUACCAUUUGACUCACCAAUCCCAUUACUGGAUAUUUACCUAAAGGAAUAUAAAUCAUUCCACCAUAAAGACACAUGCAAGUGUAUGUUCAUUGCAGCACUAUUAACAGUAACAAAGCUGGGCACAGUGGCUCACCUCACGACUGUAAUCCCAGCACUUUGGGAGGCUGAGGUAGGCGGAUCACCUGAGGUCGGCAGUUUGAGACCAGCCUGACCAACAUGGAGAGACCCCAUCUCUACUAAAAAUACAAAAUUAGCCAGGUGUGGUGGCUCAUGCCUGUAAUCCCA
Homo sapiens (human) is the source of this 6537-nucleotide long non-coding RNA. Ensembl annotates it as HLA complex group 18. Its record names the gene HCG18. The record is from Ensembl. Lineage: Eukaryota; Metazoa; Chordata; Mammalia; Primates; Hominidae.